GCGGGUGUAACUCAGUGGUAGAGUGUCACCUUGCCAAGGUGAAAGUCGCGAGUUCGAAUCUCGUCACCCGCUCCA
Molecule: transfer RNA, 75 nt
Filed under: Desulfitobacterium hafniense
Lineage: Bacteria; Bacillati; Bacillota; Clostridia; Eubacteriales; Desulfitobacteriaceae
Also listed under: 52 other names
Description: Gly
Rfam family: tRNA
About the family: Transfer RNA (tRNA) molecules are approximately 80 nucleotides in length. Their secondary structure includes four short double-helical elements and three loops (D, anti-codon, and T loops). Further hydrogen bonds mediate the characteristic L-shaped molecular structure. tRNAs have two regions of fundamental functional importance: the anti-codon, which is responsible for specific mRNA codon recognition, and the 3' end, to which the tRNAs corresponding amino acid is attached (by aminoacyl-tRNA synthetases). tRNAs cope with the degeneracy of the genetic code in two manners: having more than one tRNA (with a specific anti-codon) for a particular amino acid; and 'wobble' base-pairing, i.e. permitting non-standard base-pairing at the 3rd anti-codon position.
Source: RNAcentral